Molecule: long non-coding RNA, 909 nt
Organism: Zingiber officinale
Lineage: Eukaryota; Viridiplantae; Streptophyta; Magnoliopsida; Zingiberales; Zingiberaceae
Exons: 2
Source: RefSeq, a predicted model, not a curated record
CGUCGUGCCCUAGCCAUCCUCACUCCCCGAUCUCUUCCUUUUCCCCCGAAACUCGAUCGCCUUCCCCCAAUCUGACGCAUACAAAAUCAGUGCCCAAGGAGAAGCCGGGCACUACUAUUCCCGAUUCCCUUCUCCCCCGACUCCUCUCCACCUUCCUCGCGUCUUCCUUGCCACUGACAACCACAGCCCGAGCGAAAAUGCUCUAGGUGUCACCCUCUCCCAUUGCAUCGCUUCAUCGUCGCACGGAGCAGCGCCGGCGCCCCUACAACCGAUGCCUCUCUUCUUAUCACCUCCGCUCGUGCCCUUUCUCUCAUGCCGACACUGCUAUUCCGGUCAUUCUUCUCUCUCACAAUUUUCCUAGUGUUGCCGCAACUGUUCGCGUGAGGACCAAAUCGGAGCAGUGGUUGAAGGCUCAUCAGCGAGAAAACCCUAGCGAUAUGUCCACUGCCUUCUCCUUUUCCAUUGGAUCUCAAUUCUUUUUCUUCGUCGACACAGAUCAGCUGUCGUUCUUUCAACCACCUUCUACUUGGUCUCCGACAAAGGGAAAACUGUCAGCAUAGAUUGGGAUCUGGCUAUGGUAUUCCGGCAGUAACAUCUCCUAGGACCAGCUACUCUGUUCUAGCAGCAAGUUGUCUCCGGCUGUGGAUCACUUGCAAAGGUUUCAGAUUUGGAUCUGCCAUCGUUGGUCGCCUGGCUGCCGGAAGGCAGUCGUCGUCGGAGUUAAAUCUAUUGGCACAGAUUGGAGGUUGAAGCUAUCAGGAGAUUCCAGUCACUAGUCCCCCACCUCGUGUAGAUAUGGUUUUCUACUUUCAGACUUUGUUUCCUUGUUUUGUGAUCUACAUGCGUGUGAUGUGUAGAUCUCGUACUCGUGGAUGUUAUAUCGAGUUUUGGUCUACUACCCUUGUUUUC